Molecule: ribosomal RNA, 892 nt
Filed under: uncultured Bacillota bacterium
Lineage: Bacteria; Bacillati; Bacillota
Description: bacterial SSU rRNA
Rfam family: Bacterial small subunit ribosomal RNA
Source: RNAcentral
GAUGAACGCUAGCGGCAGGCUUAACACAUGCAAGUCGAGGGGCAGCGCGGGGCGGCAACGUCCUGGCGGCGACCGGCGGAAGGGUGCGUAACGCGUGAGCGACAUGCCCGUUGCCCGGGGACAACCGGUGGAAACGCCGACUAAUCCCCGAUGGGACGGAGGCCCUCAUGGGUCUCUGUUGAAAGUUACGGCGGCGACGGAUUGGCUCGCGUCCGAUUAGCUUGUUGGCGGGGUAACGGCCCACCAAGGCUACGAUCGGUAGGGGUUCUGAGAGGAAGGUCCCCCACAAUGGAACUGAGACACGGUCCAUACUCCUACGGGAGGCAGCAGUGAGGAAUAUUGGUCAAUGGGCGGAAGCCUGAACCAGCCAUGCCGCGUGCGGGAAGGAGGCCCUAUGGGCUGUGAACCGCUUUUGCCUGGGGGCAAUAAGGGCGUCGUGCACGUCCGAUGAGAGUACCAGGCGAAUAAGCAUCGGCUAACUCCGUGCCAGCAGCCGCGGUAAUACGGGGGAUGCGAGCGUUAUCCGGAUUCAUUGGGUUUAAAGGGUGCGUAGGCUGUGCGUCAAGUCAGGGGUGAAAUUCCGGGGCUCAACUCCGGGGCUGCCCUUGAUACUGUCGCGCUGGAGUGCGGAUGCCGCCGGAGGAAUGAGUGGUGUAGCGGUGAAAUGCUUAGAUAUCACUCAGAACACCGAUUGCGAAGGCAUCUGGCGAAUCCGUAACUGACGCUGAGGCACGAAAGCGUGGGGAUAGAACAGGAUUAGAUACCCUGGUAUUCCACGCCGUAAACGAUGAUGGCUAACCGCCGGCGACACAUUGUCGGUGGCCAAGCGAAAGCGAUAAGCCAUCCACCUGGGGAGUACGUCGGCAACGAUGCAACUCAAAGGAAUUGACGG